This 468-nucleotide ribosomal RNA is filed under the name uncultured bacterium. Its description in RNAcentral is "partial 16S ribosomal RNA". It matches the Rfam family "Bacterial small subunit ribosomal RNA", at positions 28 to 507 of the family's 1533-position model. The record is from RNAcentral.
GACGAACGCUGGCGGCGUGCUUAACACAUGCAAGUCGAACGGAAAGGCCCUGCUUUUGUGGGGUGCUCGAGUGGCGAACGGGUGAGUAACACGUGAGUAACCUGCCCUUGACUUUGGGAUAACUUCAGGAAACUGGGGCUAAUACCGGAUAGGAGCUCCUGCUGCAUGGUGGGGGUUGGAAAGUUUCGGCGGUUGGUGAUGGACUCGCGGCUUAUCAGCUUGUUGGUGGGGUAGUGGCUUACCAAGGCUUUGACGGGUAGCCGGCCUGAGAGGGUGACCGGCCACAUUGGGACUGAGAUACGGCCCAGACUCCUGCGGGAGGCAGCAGUGGGGACUAUUGCACAAUGGGCGGAAGCCUGAUGCAGCAACGCCGCGUGCGGGAUGACGGCCUUCGGGUUGUAGACCGCUUUCGCCUGUGACGAAGCGUGAGUGACGGUAAUGGGUAAAGAAGCACCGGCUAACUACGUG